UGUACGAUUGGUCAUUUUAAGUAAAAAAAAGUGUGAAUCAUUUUUUGUGCAAGAAAUUCAACCCAACGAACAUUUUGCAUAAUCUACCUUUAAAAGAAUUAUGCAUAGAUACUGUCUCGGUGGAAUUUGUUGCACAAUAUCAUUUAUCUCAGUGUGGAGAUACACUGAUAUAUCAAAGAAAAUAAAUGGUGUAAUACACAUUGAUAUACAUAUGUAUGUAAACGAGAUACAAUAUGGAUGUAACGACUUAUUUUCGUCGUUAUAGAAAAACCAAUGGAGAAAGAGAUUGGGCAAGAAAACUUUUGAGCAGUGAGUUAGAAAAUUGUAGCCUAGUCCAGAUUUGGACGAAAUCUGAGAUAGGUAAGGUCUUGGGAAAUUUGAUAAUGAAUGGGGGAUCUGAUUGUGUUGAUCACUUGAUUGGAUAGUCAAGACGUUAAGGAGCCUGUACGACUUUAGGAAUCGAAUUCGGGCUGAAAGAUCUUGGCGUGAAAGGGUAGUUUCUGAACGUCAAGGGUCGAAGACAUGUUGUGAACUGGAAUCUUGGAACUCAAAUUUCGAGCUUCUGUCUCCGUGCAAGUCGCCAGGGCAGGUUUAAUUCUGUCAGGGCGGGGCCGCGGUGGUUGGAUGAGAUCUGCCGUAGUGGGCCAGUCGCUACUUCAGUUGGGGGAAUAAUCUCAAAAUCGUUAUUUUCUACAAACCUUCGUUCUUGAGAGCUAAGAGACGACCACAGGCUAUUUCUUGACAAUUCCCAUGACUUUUAGCGCUAAAGGCAGCUAUUGACGCUCAGCUAGGCAAUAACUGAUAGAGACUUGAUUCAAGGGUGAGCUAGUUCUUCCAGGUUGCAAUGGAUCCUCCUUAUUUAGUCCACUCUUUUCGGGCUCAGAUUAUUUAUUUAGGCUGUUAGUUUUAGCUUUCGGGUUUGCAUCCCUUUGUUUGUAGACUUGUUGAUCAUUAGAGUUUUGGUAUAAUGACUUUCAGUUCUAUGGGUUGAA
Long non-coding RNA from Solanum lycopersicum (tomato), 992 nucleotides. RefSeq lists it as uncharacterized. The record is from RefSeq and is a predicted model, not a curated record. Lineage: Eukaryota; Viridiplantae; Streptophyta; Magnoliopsida; Solanales; Solanaceae.